AUGGCGGCAAUGGAGGCCGCCGCCGACGCGAUGCUCGCCGCCGCCAGCCGCGCCUUCUGCAGCUCCGUCGCGGUCUUCUUCCAGAUCCAGGGGUGCUGUAUCUGCUUACUACUUGCUUUUGGUUGGGCUGUUGCUUCACUGGUCAGAAAAAAGGAAAUUCGCAAGAUGCGGCGCAAAAUGGCAUCUGGACAUAGUUUUGCAUUUCUUUGUGAUGACGUAGAUGAGCUUGAGCACUCUGUCCAGCAGAAAUUACCUAUGGUCUCUGUAGUCAUGCCUUUGAAGGGCUUUGGGGAACACAAUUUGCAAAAUUGGAGAACUCAGAUUACAUCUCUUUAUGGGGGGCCAUUGGAGUUCUUGUUCGUAGUAGAAAGCAAAGACGAUCCAGCUUAUCGUGCCGUCUCCCGUUUGAUUGUAGAGUACAAGGACAAAUUGGACGCAAAGGUCGUUGUAGCUGGGUUUUCAACAACGUGUAGCCAGAAAAUUCAUAAUCAGUUAAUUGGUGUUGAAAAGAUGCACAAGGACAGCAAAUAUGUUCUAUUUCUGGAUGAUGAUGUCAGACUGCACCCUGGGACAGUCGGAGCUCUCACAAAAGAAAUGGAGAAGAACCCUGAGAUAUUUAUCCAAACGGGAUACCCCCUUGACUUACCUUCUGGCAGCUUGGGAAGCUAUUGCAUAUAUGAAUAUCACAUGCCCUGUUCGAUUGGAUUUGCAACUGGUGGGAGGACUUUCUUUUUGUGGGGUGGCUGUAUGAUGAUGCAUGCUGAUGAUUUCCGGCAAGACCUGUAUGGUUUAGUCACUGCACUAAAAAAUGGUGGUUACUCAGAUGAUAUGACCCUGGCUGCAAUCGCUGGGCAACAUAAAAGGCUCAUAACUUCACCACCUGUUGCUGUGUUUCCACAUCCUCUUGCAAGUGAUCUCAGCUUCUCCAGAUACUGGAAUUAUCUGAGGAAGCAAACUUUUGUUCUUGAAUCGUAUGUAUCAAAGGUCAACUGGAUAAUGAACCGUGCACUAUUUGGUGUGCAUUUCUAUUUGUCUUGGGGAUUUGUUUGUCCCUAUGUUAUGGCUUUGGUACAUAUUGCGACUACUCUUAGAGCACCAUACAGCGCAAUUGUAAAGGAAGCAGCUGGCUCAUCUUGUGGUCUGAAACUAGUGAGCUUCUUGUUAAUAUGCACUCUCACUGAACUUGUUUCAAUGUGGAAUUUGACGAGAGUUGAGAUCCAACUCUGCAACAUGUUGUCUCCAGAAGGUCCACAAGACUCCCUUCGUUCAUAUAACUGGGGGCUUGUGUUCGUCGCCGUGUUAGUAGACAAUUUCCUCUAUCCGAUAUCUGCCAUCCGGUCUCACUUCUCCCAAUCAAUCAAUUGGUCUGGUAUCAGGUACUACCUGAGAGAUGGGAAAAUAAGCAAGAUUGAAAGGGAGAACAGCUCGAAGUACACCGAUCUUGGUGGGAAGCAUCUGUAUGGCAAGAAGACAUACCCUGCUGGAAAGUCAUUGCUCGGUUACCUGUCCAUAAGCUUAGCGCAAUGGCACCAGCCGAAGAAGUAUGAUGUCUGA
This 1554-nucleotide ribosomal RNA is filed under the name Triticum aestivum (bread wheat). RNAcentral describes it as "partial small subunit ribosomal RNA". The record is from RNAcentral. Lineage: Eukaryota; Viridiplantae; Streptophyta; Magnoliopsida; Poales; Poaceae.